AGCGAACGCUGGCGGCAGGCCUAACACAUGCAAGUCGAACGAACCUUUCGGGGUUAGUGGCGGACGGGUGGGUAACACGUGGGAACGUGCCUUUAGGUUCGGAAUAACUCAGGGAAACUUGUGCUAAUACCGAAUGUGCCCUUCGGGGGAAAGAUUAAUCGCCUUUAGAGCGGCCCGCGUCUGAUUAGCUAGUUGGUUGAGGUAAUGGCUCACCAAGGCGACGACCAGUAGCUGGUCUGAGAGGAUGAUCAGCCACAUUGGGACUGAGACACGGCCCAAACUCCUACGGGAGGCAGCAGUGGGGAAUCUUGCGCAAUGGGCGAAAGCCUGACGCAGCCAUGCCGCGUGAAUGAUGAAGGUCUUAGGAUUGUAAAAUUCUUUCACCGGGGACGAUAAUGACGGUACCCGGAGAAGAAGCCCCGGCUAACUUCGUG
This 434-nucleotide ribosomal RNA is filed under the name uncultured bacterium. Its description in RNAcentral is "partial 16S ribosomal RNA". It matches the Rfam family "Bacterial small subunit ribosomal RNA", at positions 29 to 507 of the family's 1533-position model. The record is from RNAcentral.